Molecule: ribosomal RNA, 253 nt
Filed under: uncultured bacterium
Lineage: Bacteria
Description: partial 16S ribosomal RNA
Rfam family: Bacterial small subunit ribosomal RNA
Source: RNAcentral
UACGUAGGGGGCAAGCGUUGUCCGGAAUCAUUGGGCGUAAAGAGCGUGUAGGCGGCCCGGUAAGUCCGCUGUAAAAGUCAAAGGCUCAACCUUUGAAUGUCAGUGGAUACUGCCGGGCUAGAGUCCGGAAGAGGCGAGUGGAACUCCUGGUGUAGCGGUGGAAUGCGCAGAUAUCAGGAGGAACACCAACGGCGAAGGCAGCUCGCUGGGACGGUACUGACGCUGAGACGCGAAAGCGUGGGGAGCGAACAGG